AUGAUUUGAUCCGCGAGCCAUUAGACGCCAGAACGUGCAGACCAUGGGCUAAUAGAAUAGUGUCACAUAACGUUUCGAUUACAACCCAGACCAAGGGACUCACUAACUGUUCACUACAGGUCUUAAAGGGAUCGAGACACAUGGAAAACAUCAGGUUGGGUCACCACAGCAACCUUGGAUGGAGGCGAAGUAAGAGGAGAGGGCGAUCGCUCAUUAUGAUUACUACCUGGACAAAAUGCAUCCGAAUACUACCUCUACUAGAACUGCCUCUACAUACGAGAUAGACAAGAUGAGACCAGAGCAUGGGCUAUCAGAAGAUGAUGAUGGCCUCCGAAAUUAUAAACUGAUAUUGUUCCA
Salvelinus fontinalis (brook trout) is the source of this 357-nucleotide long non-coding RNA. RefSeq lists it as uncharacterized. The record is from RefSeq and is a predicted model, not a curated record. Lineage: Eukaryota; Metazoa; Chordata; Actinopteri; Salmoniformes; Salmonidae. The transcript has 3 exons.